GGUCACUCUAGGCGAGGUAAUUCCACAAUAGAACGAUGCUAAUCGAGAGUACUCGACGCAAUACAUUGCGUACAAACCACCAAAUGGAAUCAGCCUGUCCCCGAAUUUCAAGUGGACAGGGUCAGUUCAGCGCGUGCUCUUCUUCCUUUCUCCGGCAAGCAGCAUGCAACGUAAGGGGGAACCUCUUGCAACUGUUGACAGCAUCCUUCUACCGUCUGUUUGCCCAGUUCAUUCUGUCACGUCCGUUGAGCACGGCCAUCUUUCAGAAUCCCCCGUGUACGGUCCACAGCCAGCAGGUAAUCCUCCUUGGCGCGCGUCUUUUUCGGCAUGGCCACUCGCUCUCGUCUGGUGGCGACAGGGCGGGAAACACCUCAUUCUUUUUCCUGUUCCUCUAAUGUACUUCUUCGAAGCAGCCAAUGUGAGAGUUAUCCGGUAGAUUCAAGUGCGUCGUCGAAGCUUGCAUUCCUUGUUGCUCCAGCGUAUAUUUCCACUCCGGAGGCCUCGCGCCACAAGACUUCUCCCAGCCCUCUGUGGUCAGGCUAGAGUCUUGCACGUUGUAAAAGCCACUGCAGAACACGAGCGAGUAUUUUCCCGCCAUCGGGUUCCGACGGGAAGGAAUGGUAUACGUCCAAUCCAUGCAGCUGCGGAUCUGCAUACGCCCGCACCUUAUCGAUGAGCACCGCUUCUACGUUACAUUCGACAUACAAAUUCCUCGGUAAAACACGCUUUUCGUCGUCUUCACAAGGAAGGCACUUGAUGGCAGAAGACGUGCUGUCCCCGAUCGCCUUAAUGGACCUUUGCAUACUCUCUCGCUGAUCCGACAUUCUGUCAGCCGGUGCAUUAAAAGGAGUUUGAUUAGGAACAAUCUCUGUGCCAGCGUCUUUAUUCACGACUGCCGAGCCGGGCUCUGAAUUUUUAUUCUCUGCGCCUGGACGAUGCCUGCUGCGCGUCCUCUCCCUUCCAAAUGCUUCGUACGUGCACUCCGACAGGGUAUGCUGAACACACCGACACUCUGCUGAUGCAACACCUGCCGGUUCGCGUGGCUCUUCAGCCUGCGUCUCCCCGCGGUCACCUAUACUUCCUCCCGCCGCCCUGUCACCUUCUCUGAUCUUGUGAAGUGGCUGAAGCGCGUCGGGUCUUCCACAUUUAGCGAGAGUAGAGGCCAGUGCAUGCAGUGCAUCGUUUUUUCCACCUCCCACAACUGCCGCUGUCGUUCCAUUUACGAGAUCCGCAGGUGUCAGGCACUGAAUAGAAGACGUGCCGUCCACAUACGCAUUCACAGCAAGGAAGCUUCUAUCUCUGAUUCGCUUGGCACCAUGGAAGAGCCGCAGAGUCCCCUCUACUCCACAGACACCAUCGAGCAGAUUGUGCAUGACUAGCAGUGCCCCGCAGGUACUGUCAGACAUGAGGGCCAGACAGUCUGGAUGGAGGAUCGCGUCUGUUCCUUCAAACAUUUCUCUCACCAUUCGCAUUCGCGAUCCGCCCUUAUACGUAUACUUAUCCCUUUGCGAGUACGCCUCCAGGUAUGGAUAUUCCGCAUUCUGAUGAGGCCGCGAUACAACGACGUUCGGUGUCCAAUCUGCUAAACGGACAAUCAAGUGUCGGUAGAGAUGAUACUUAGUCGUCGUCUUCACAACAGUGAGAUCCAACAUCGGUGAGAGAAGCACGCAGCCAGCUACACCUCCAGUGGUCGGUGCCACCUGGCAUUCUCUCUUCCCGAGGCGUGACUGCUCGCUCUUCGUUUGUCGCUCGAAUUCUAUUCGCUGAUCCUCGCCGCUCUUGACUCCCACGAAAGUGUUUGAGUACUCCUCGUCCUGGUGCAUACAGUGUUUAUACAGUCUACGAAGGAAUUGGCAGCGGCGACGAAUGAUAGUGAUAAACUGAAUGACAUCAACGGCGAAGUCAUCCAGACGGUUGACACUCCCGCGUUUCCCCUGCCAGCCCUCAGAGAGGCCGUGUCCCUGGAAAUCCAUGGCCGCGACCAGAAAGCCUGCCUUGUUUAGCGCCUCCACCCAACUCCCUUGGUACUGAGCGUGCCAUGACACAGACGCGCGCUCUUGCCCACUUAUUUCGGAGCUUCCAUCAGCUGGGUCGCACUUUCUGGUUUGUUCUUCUCCAGUCGUCGACGGCGCAUUCGCGGUGUUCCCCGCUUGCCCCUGUCGAUCAGGUUUGAGCUGAGACUCUCUUCCCUCCGCUGUCUUUGCACCACUCUCCGUCCUCGUGGGGACACCGGAAAGAGUAAAAGAGUCCGCCGUGGGCUCUUCCGCCAUAGGUUUAAACACACCAUUUAACGUGGCGGUUGCCGACACUGACGAAGAAGAUUCCAAGACGGCUUGAUACCCCACCACCGUCGGGUCUCUACGUCUGUGGCCAGGCGGCAGAGGCUUGUAGAGCCAGGCAAGCCGAGAGUGGUUGCAGUAACCAUGGAGAAGCACAAUAACUCCUCGGCAGCCACAAACAGCUUCCGCUUUGUCCAGAAGCGCCUGUUCGGGUCGUGGUGAUAUCCCACAGACCACCCCAUGGGCGUCUAACGUGAGAGCACGUCUCCCACUGCUGAUGAGACGACUUUGCCGAGUAAGAAGCGAGCGGGAGGCAGGUGAGGACGGAUACGGAGGGUCGCAAGUUCCACUCCGAGCAACAUUCGCCUUCCCUCUGAGGAAGUCUACCGGAGUAGAGGAGGCCGGCACCGUCAUUCCCGAGCUCAGUGCCGUACCGGAUCUGGUAGGCGAGCACGAAGAGUGUCGAUGAGGCAUCAGAGAGGCAUCGCAUGCGCCAGAAGACGAAGAGGAUCGACCAAGGCCGCCGCACGACGUUCUCGGAAGGCUAUGAACUAGGCCACUCUCUUGAUUUCCCCCAGAUUGAUCUUGCUUUUGCGCCUGACAAGGGUUCCCCAUCUUUUGGCCUUUGUGCGGCGCUUGAGGGUACCACAAGUACGUAUGGAUACGAAGACCCUGCGAAUUCAAAAAGGCACCGUGCUCGGGCUUGUUGUCAUAGGGAAACUCCACUGCGUCAGUGAUGGGAGCCUCUAAAGACACAAACCGGCACGCCUCGUCUUGAUCGAGUUCGAUCCAUUCGUCUUUCCCGCGCGAGACGUCCGAAUGACUGUCGGACGAGCGGCUGCGGCCGCUCCCCUGGGAAUUUCCCAUUGCGAACAAGUCGCGAUCGAACGCACAAACGUGUCAGCUACCGUGAAACGGAAAAGAAAAAAACACAUCGAGAGGCAUACCCGGACCUUCAGAUGGCAAGAUAAGUGACGGAACUGGAAACAGACGAUGCCCCUGAAAACGAUUCAUACACCAAUUCACCAGGUGUCCAGACACCUCAGUUGCGUCCCGCACAAACCAGUACUACACGGACGCGCAAGUGCCAAGCAGACAUAGUGCAGAGACCAAAUGACACAUUUCCGACUGUGGUUGAAAAUAACACGACUGGAUGGACAGCAUUGCAGGGCAGUCUCUCUUGUUCUGGAGUACAGACUCGUACCCUCCAAAAAACGCGGGAUCACGGGCUAACACGAAAAAAGCGCGAAGGAUCCGUUCGUGGAAAAGUUCAGCAAAAAUGAUGCACACCCGCAAAAUGGUCAGAAAAGGCACAAGCGAGCGAACAUGAAAGACCACAGUUAGCCGAGAAAGUUCUACAAGAACCAAACUGGAGAAUGGUAGAUGUGUGCCGUUUUUUCAGUGUGUACAUGCUCGGCAAUUUUCGGAAACGUGCGCUUCUGUGUACUGUAGGGGGGCCAACGACAAAAACGCCACGCCAUUUCCCGGGUAGCUGUACUGCAGGAACGAGUUAGAGGAGAGUGCUCGCCGUGAUCUUAAAUGACCAUUUUUUUCGCAAACCCCGUCAGAGGGAACAGACUGAGCGCGAUUGACGGACGAUACAGAUUUCUGUCGGCGUUUGGACGGCCAGCAAGGAAGAGACACUGCAUGCGAGACAAGUUCUUGUUAAUAUCGACUGG
This 3958-nucleotide long non-coding RNA is filed under the name Toxoplasma gondii VEG. Lineage: Eukaryota; Apicomplexa; Conoidasida; Eucoccidiorida; Sarcocystidae. The record is from RNAcentral.